This 332-nucleotide ribosomal RNA is filed under the name uncultured bacterium. Its description in RNAcentral is "bacterial SSU rRNA". It matches the Rfam family "Bacterial small subunit ribosomal RNA", at positions 568 to 898 of the family's 1533-position model. The record is from RNAcentral.
UGCGCAGGCGGCCGUGUGUGUCAGGUGUGAAAUCCCGGGGCUUAACCCCGGAACUGCGCCUGAAACUACAUGGCUAGAGUAUUGGAGAGGGUAGCGGAAUUCACGGUGUAGCAGUGAAAUGCGUAGAUAUCGUGAGGAACACCAGAGGCGAAGGCGGCUACCUGGACAAUUACUGACGCUCAGGCACGAAAGCGUGGGGAGCAAAAGGGAUUAGAUACCCCUGUAGUCCACGCCCUAAACGGUGCACACUAGGUCUUGGCGGAUUCGACCCCACCAGGGCCCAAGCUAACGCGUUAAGUGUGCCGCCUGAGGACUACGGCCGCAAGGCUAAA